RNAcentral lists this transfer RNA (61 nucleotides) under Ictidomys tridecemlineatus (thirteen-lined ground squirrel). Its description in RNAcentral is "Spermophilus tridecemlineatus (thirteen-lined ground squirrel) tRNA". It matches the Rfam family "tRNA", at positions 6 to 65 of the family's 71-position model. Rfam says of the family: Transfer RNA (tRNA) molecules are approximately 80 nucleotides in length. Lineage: Eukaryota; Metazoa; Chordata; Mammalia; Rodentia; Sciuridae. The record is from Rfam by way of RNAcentral.
UGGGGUUCAGUGGUAGAACAUUCGCCUCACAGGUGGAAAGCCCUGGGUUCGAUCCUCAGCA